AUUGAACGCUGGCGGCAGGCCUAACACAUGCAAGUCGAGCGCACGGCGGACGGGUGAGUAAUGUCUGGGAAACUGCCUGAUGGAGGGGGAUAACUAAUGUAAACGGUAGCUAAUACUGCAUACCAUCAGAUGUGCCCAGACGGGAUUAGCUAGUAGGUGGGGUAACGGCUCACCUAGGCGACGAUCCCUAGCUGGGCUGAGAGGAUGACCAGCCACACUGUAACUGAGAAACGGUCCAGACUCCUACGGGAGGCAGCAGUGGGGAAUAUUGCACAAUGGGCGCAAGCCUGAUGCAGCCAUGCCGCGUGUAUGAAGAAGGCCUUCGGGUUGUAAAGUACUUUCAGCGGGGAGGCGUUACCCGCAGAAGAAGCACCGGCUAACUCCGUGCCAGCAGCCGCGGUAAUAC
RNAcentral lists this ribosomal RNA (406 nucleotides) under uncultured bacterium. RNAcentral describes it as "partial 16S ribosomal RNA". It matches the Rfam family "Bacterial small subunit ribosomal RNA", at positions 30 to 526 of the family's 1533-position model. The record is from RNAcentral.